Long non-coding RNA from Gasterosteus aculeatus aculeatus (three-spined stickleback), 266 nucleotides. Lineage: Eukaryota; Metazoa; Chordata; Actinopteri; Perciformes; Gasterosteidae. The record is from Ensembl.
GGUCCCUGCUGGACGAGGCGCUCGCCGUCUCCACGACGACCACGCCAACCUCGCGGCCCUUUCUUUCGGCUCGAUCUGCCUCCAAUCACACCAACACCUGAAUACCAUAAUGGGAAGGAGAAAGAAGAAGAAGAAGAGAUUCACAUGUAGAGAAAGAUGAACUCUGCUGAUCCGUAACAAAUCUGAGUGAAUUUCAUUGUAUAAUAUGUAUAUUAUUGUAUAACAUCUAAAAAUUGUUGCCUCGGUAACAACAAACUUUCCAGGGG